GUAGCUGGUCUGAGAGGAUGGACAGCCACACUGGGACUGAGACACGGCCCAGACUCCUACGGGAGGCAGCAGUGGGGAAUAUUGGACAAUGGGGGCAACCCUGAUCCAGCGAUGCCGCGUGUGUGAAGAAGGCCUGAGGGUUGUAAAGCACUUUCAGUAGGGAGGAGAGUUGAUUGGUUAAGAGCUGAUUGAUGAGACGUUACCUACAGAAGAAGCACCGGCUAACUCCGUGCCAGCAGCCGCGGUAAUACGGAGGGUGCGAGCGUUAAUCGGAAUUAUUGGGCGUAAAGGGUGCGUAGGUGGUUGWAUAAGUUAUCUGUGAAAACCCUGGGCUUAACCUGGGGAAGASAGAUAAGACUGUUUAACUAGAGUAUGG
RNAcentral lists this ribosomal RNA (376 nucleotides) under uncultured Legionella sp. RNAcentral describes it as "bacterial SSU rRNA". It matches the Rfam family "Bacterial small subunit ribosomal RNA", at positions 283 to 651 of the family's 1533-position model. The record is from RNAcentral. Lineage: Bacteria; Pseudomonadati; Pseudomonadota; Gammaproteobacteria; Legionellales; Legionellaceae.